This 646-nucleotide long non-coding RNA is filed under the name Chinchilla lanigera (long-tailed chinchilla). RNAcentral's name for it is "lncRNA (ENSCLAG00000022593.1)". The record is from RNAcentral. Lineage: Eukaryota; Metazoa; Chordata; Mammalia; Rodentia; Chinchillidae.
UGGACACUUAAACUUAGCAAUAGCCUAAGGAUUUUUUUUUUAAUCCUAAUUGCGUACCAUUCUUCUCUUACAUCGCUAAGGUCAUACUCGAGAAUCUCCGUCCCAUGAAGAAGACCAUUGCUGAGAUAGUGUCUUACCGAGUGGAGCUGAGGCUGCCGCAGCCGGAGAUGAACCCACUGCCCGUGUUUCAGAGGACAAGUCAGCUUUUACAGGACGUAAAGCUCUUGGAAAGUGUGACUCAGGAACAAAAUGAGUUACUAAAGAUUGUCAUAAAACAGACUAGUGAAUGUGAUGAAGAAACAGAAAAUCUGAAGCAGAUCAUAAGUGAUUAUUCAGCUGAGUUCUCCCUUGAACACACGUCACCGGACCAGGCCACCGACCUGCCGGCAGUACAGGUACGUUUCGCCCAUCCACCAGCUCACGUAGUCAUCACUUGUGAGUCCCUUGGAGUCGAGAAGCCCAGGUCGUUCUGCAGGCUGACAUCCAGCUUCUGUUUUUGAUUGAACCUGUUCAGUGUGUGUUUACUUUCCGUUCCUGUUCAUGGACUAGGGGACUACACGGUGUCGUUAUUAAAACACGCUGAAACGCGGGCUGCACGGUUCCCACCGGAACCUGCACCGGGGCUGCUGCAUCUGCUUCUUAUUUG